GGUAAGUUUUGAUUGGUGAUUAUACUGAAAGUGAAAGGGGCGGGGACGAACAUUCCCGCCAGUAGUUCUCACUCAGGUCCGGGGGUGGAAGCUAUGCAGAUGAGGAACGCUGAAGAAUAAAUUCUGAUUGGUGGGUUUUGCAGAAGGUGGACGUUGUUACUUGCCGUCUGCUCGGCUUGUCCCGAAAUAGCGGCAGGCGGGUCCACAAAACUGAGUUUUGGAGUUUCUUCGUGUCUGUCACUUCCUCGGCCAUAAAUGAAGCAAUUAGUACUGUGAGGCAAGGAGAAAGGGUGAUUGCCGGAAAUAAUGCUGCAGUGCUUGGUGAAGGCUGUGUAAGGACACCAGUACCCAGCUGUGAAGUGGGAAGUACAGAGCUCGUUAAAUAUUUGAAACAGAAAAGGCUUAUGCUCUGAACCACCUGGAGCAGAAAAUGAAGAAGUGCACUGGAAUGUGAAAUUCAAAGUAAAACAAAAUCUUCAGAUUACCCAGCUAGUGACAGAGAUGAGGCCGAAAUCCAGGCUUCCUUGUCAUGCUUGGAAUCCACCUGGCUGUAUACCUGGCACCCACUUUGCCUUAAAUCUGCCUCAUUUCUCAAAGACCAAGGAUUGGUCCAGGUACCUCAGGACACGGAUGACAAGGCGGAAUAUCGCCAGCACCUGAGAAGCGCCGCCCCCUCGAGUGACUGU
Camelus dromedarius (Arabian camel) is the source of this 686-nucleotide long non-coding RNA. RefSeq lists it as uncharacterized. Lineage: Eukaryota; Metazoa; Chordata; Mammalia; Artiodactyla; Camelidae. The transcript has 5 exons. The record is from RefSeq and is a predicted model, not a curated record.